AACACAUGCAAGUCGAACGGUGAAAGGGGAGCUUGCUCCUCUGGAUCAGUGGCGAACGGGUGAGUAACACGUGAGUAACCUGCCCUUGACUCUGGGAUAAGCGUUGGAAACGACGUCUAAUACCGGAUACGAGCUUCAGCCGCAUGGCUAGGAGCUGGAAAGAACUUCGGUCAAGGAUGGACUCGCGGCCUAUCAGCUAGUUGGUGAGGUAACGGCCCACCAAGGCGACGACGGGUAGCCGGCCUGAGAGGGUGACCGGCCACACUGGGACUGAGACACGGCCCAGACUCCUACGGGAGGCAGCAGUGGGGAAUAUUGCACAAUGGGCGCAAGCCUGAUGCAGCAACGCCGCGUGAGGGACGACGGCCUUCGGGUUGUAAACCUCUUUUAGUAGGGAAGAAGCGAAAGUGACGGUACCUGCAGAAAAAGCACC
Molecule: ribosomal RNA, 433 nt
Filed under: grassland soil clone saf2_224
Lineage: Bacteria
Description: bacterial SSU rRNA
Rfam family: Bacterial small subunit ribosomal RNA
Source: RNAcentral